GCAGGGGGUUGUGGGUAUGCGGCUAGAGGGAAGGUUCCAGACACGUCGAGAGUGGGAAACUUAAAUUCCCCUCUCUGGUGUAGGCGCAGGCUUUAGCUCCAGGAUCUUUUCUGGGGAAGGCUGGGAGGUAUGAAUUUGAAGCUGGACACGUUGCUGCUCCCCUUAAAGUUUGGAUUAUUUUACUAAAGAAGAAGAGAACAGGAUCUUGUGUCUUCUACCAGUAUCCAUGAGAUUGUGGCAGGCUAAAAUCACAGACUCUUCAGAGUUUUCAUAAUGAUAAAGUAAAUAUUGCAAAGUACACAUACAAUAAGUGUACAAUUGAUGAAUCCUACAAAGUGAACUCACUCAUGUAACCAGCACCAGAUGAAGAAAAAAACAUCAGCAGCAUCACAGAAGCCCCCCAAAUGUCCCCUUCAGUCAAUAGCCUCCCAAAGAUAACCACACUCCUAUCUAGCAGUGUGGGUUAAUUUUUCCUGUUUUUGAACUUUGCAUAUAUUAAAUCAUACAACAUGUA
Homo sapiens (human) is the source of this 514-nucleotide long non-coding RNA. Ensembl annotates it as long intergenic non-protein coding RNA 237. NCBI's taxonomy places the organism in Eukaryota, Metazoa, Chordata, Mammalia, Primates, Hominidae. The record is from Ensembl.